GAAAUAAUAAAUAUUAAAUUUCUAAUUUAAAUAAUUUAAUGAUUAAAUUCAUUUUUAUUUCU
This 62-nucleotide transfer RNA is filed under the name Euxiphydria potanini. Its description in RNAcentral is "tRNA-Ser". The record is from RNAcentral. Lineage: Eukaryota; Metazoa; Arthropoda; Insecta; Hymenoptera; Xiphydriidae.